This 497-nucleotide ribosomal RNA is filed under the name uncultured bacterium. RNAcentral describes it as "partial 16S ribosomal RNA". It matches the Rfam family "Bacterial small subunit ribosomal RNA", at positions 28 to 507 of the family's 1533-position model. The record is from RNAcentral.
GAUGAACGCUGGCGGCGUGCCUAAUACAUGCAAGUCGAGCGAACGGACGAGAAGCUUGCUUCUCUGAUGUUAGCGGCGGACGGGUGAGUAACACGUGGAUAACCUACCUAUAAGACUGGGAUAACUUCGGGAAACCGGAGCUAAUACCGGAUGAUAUUUUGAACCGCAUGGUUCAAAAGUGAAAGACGGUCUUGCUGUCACUUAUAGAUGGAUCCGCGCUGCAUUAGCUAGUUGGUAAGGUAACGGCUUACCAAGGCAACGAUGCAUAGCCGACCUGAGAGGGUGAUCGGCCACACUGGAACUGAGACACGGUCCAGACUCCUACGGGAGGCAGCUGUAGGGAAUCUUCCGCAAUGGGCGAAAGCCUGACGGAGCAACGCCGCGUGAGUGAUGAAGGUCUUCGGAUCGUAAAACUCUGCUAUUAGGGAAGAACAUAUGUGUAAGUAACUGUGCACAUCUUGACGGUACCUAAUCAGAAAGCCACGGCUAACUACGUG